AUACGUAGGGUGCGAGCGUUGUCCGGAAUUACUGGGCGUAAAGAGCUCGUAGGUGGUUUGUCGCGUCGUCUGUGAAAUUCCGGGGCUUAACUCCGGGCGUGCAGGCGAUACGGGCAUAACUUGAGUACUGUAGGGGAGACUGGAAUUCCUGGUGUAGCGGUGAAAUGCGCAGAUAUCAGGAGGAACACCGGUAGCGAAGGCGGGUCUCUGGGCAGUAACUGACGCUGAGGAGCGAAAGCAUGGGUAGCGAACAGGAUUAGAUACCCUGGUAGUCCAUGCCGUAAACGGUGGGCGCUAGGUGUAGGGGUCUUCCACGACUUCUGUGCCGUAGCUAACGCAUUAAGCGCCCCGCCUGGGGAGUACGGCCGCAAGGCUAAAACUCAAAUGAAUUGACGGGG
Molecule: ribosomal RNA, 398 nt
Filed under: uncultured bacterium
Lineage: Bacteria
Description: partial 16S ribosomal RNA
Rfam family: Bacterial small subunit ribosomal RNA
Source: RNAcentral